RNAcentral lists this long non-coding RNA (436 nucleotides) under Chloebia gouldiae (Gouldian finch). RNAcentral describes it as "Erythrura gouldiae (Gouldian finch) lncRNA (ENSEGOG00005000790.1)". Lineage: Eukaryota; Metazoa; Chordata; Aves; Passeriformes; Passeridae. The record is from RNAcentral.
GCAUGCUCCUGUAAUUUCUCUCCGUAAAUAAAAGCAAAGUAUUGAAAACUAAUCAACCAAGGAAAAAAAGAGAAAUUCUAACUGGUAAAUACAAUGGAAUGAAGUUUUGGAAGUACUGUGUAGACUGUAAAGGAAAGUAAAAACAUACUAGAGUUGGAAAUGCAAAUGUCACUGAAUCUGGAACUGGUUUUGUGUCAGGGCUGAACUGACAUGGAAGUUAGACUUUGCCCAGUGAUAGGCUUCCACAGUCAGCAAACAGUUUUGCCAGCCUGAACCAAACUGAUCAUGGACAUAAAAGGCAACAGAAGUAAGGAAGGCAUCCAUUCAAGUCUGGCAUCUUAAAACUGAAGUGAAGGGACUCAGAGCUCCUGAGUCUAAAAGAAACAGUAAAGGAAAAAGGACACAGGUGUCUAAACAGUGGGACGUUGAAGAUGGG